UUCGGAUGAUCGAUCGGUGACUGAGUGGCGGACGGGUGAGUAACGCGUGGGUAACCUGCCCUGUACAGGGGGAUAACAGUUGGAAACGGCUGCUAAUACCGCAUAAGCGCACAGUACCGCAUGGUACAGUGUGAAAAACUCCGGUGGUACAGGAUGGACCCGCGUCUGAUUAGCUGGUCGGUGAGGUAACGGCUCACCAAGGCGACGAUCAGUAGCCGGCUUGAGAGAGUGAACGGCCACAUUGGGACUGAGACACGGCCCAAACUCC
Molecule: ribosomal RNA, 268 nt
Filed under: uncultured Lachnospiraceae bacterium
Lineage: Bacteria; Bacillati; Bacillota; Clostridia; Lachnospirales; Lachnospiraceae
Description: partial 16S ribosomal RNA
Rfam family: Bacterial small subunit ribosomal RNA
Source: RNAcentral